RNAcentral lists this long non-coding RNA (285 nucleotides) under Homo sapiens (human). Its description in RNAcentral is "HSALNT0269573". Lineage: Eukaryota; Metazoa; Chordata; Mammalia; Primates; Hominidae. The record is from RNAcentral.
AGGAAUUCCAGGAUAAAUUACUUGAGCUGGAGAUGAGGCCUCUUUCCUGGGUAUCUCCUACUGAGCUCGGAGGGCCACCUUGCCAGCUGAUGGCCAGACACGGUCAUUCCCACCGCCAUCCCUUUCUCCGCGGCAGUCCUCCUGCCUGGUAUGGCGUCUCUUCAGAUCCUUUCCAUUCUACAGCUCUCCACUGAACUCCAUAUUUCUGCAAGUCCUAAGCAUUCCCCUUUCCCCACCACCCAAUCCUUGCCCGUGUGUCCUUGUGUUGUAAUGGAGAUUGCUUUC